GCCGCGGUAGUAUAGCCCGGUCAGCCCUGCGCCGAGAGUAUGCGGGCCUCUCGAGCCCGUGACCCGGGUUCAAAUCCCGGCCGCGGCACCA
RNAcentral lists this transfer RNA (91 nucleotides) under Acidilobales archaeon. Its description in RNAcentral is "tRNA-Glu". It matches the Rfam family "tRNA". From Rfam's summary of the family: Transfer RNA (tRNA) molecules are approximately 80 nucleotides in length. Lineage: Archaea; Thermoproteati; Thermoproteota; Thermoprotei; Acidilobales. The record is from RNAcentral.